Molecule: regulatory RNA element, 114 nt
Organism: Gasterosteus aculeatus (three-spined stickleback)
Lineage: Eukaryota; Metazoa; Chordata; Actinopteri; Perciformes; Gasterosteidae
Rfam family: Potassium channel RNA editing signal
About the family: This family represents a group of sequences related to the human potassium channel Kv1.1 hairpin element which directs the efficient modification of an adenosine to inosine by an adenosine deaminase acting on RNA (ADAR).
Source: Rfam
CUGGGCUAUGGUGACAUGUAUCCAGAGACCUGGUCGGGCAUGGUCGUUGGAGCUCUGUGCGCCCUAUCGGGUGUGCUGACGAUAGCGAUGCCUGUGCCUGUUAUUGUCAAUAAC